CGAUGGGCAACAGGUUGAUAUUCCUGUACCACAUGAUUCCGCCUGAGCGAUGGGGUGACGCAGGAGGGCAGGGGAAGCGCGCGGCUGGAAGAGCGCGUCCAAGCGGCAAGAGGGGUGGAUAGGCAAAUCCGUCCACCAUGAACCUUGAGCCGUGAUGGGGAGGGAAAUUGGAGUACCGAAGUCCCUGUGCUCACACUGCCAAGAAAAGCCUCUAGCGAGGAAUCAUGUGCCCGUACCGGAAACCGACACAGGUCGGCGGGGUGAGUAACCUCAGGCGCGCGGGAGAACUCUCGUUAAGGAACUCGGCAAAAUGACCCCGUAACUUCGGGAGAAGGGGUGCUUCCUGGGGUGAGGAGCCUCGGGGAGCCGCAGUGACCAGGCCCAAGCGACUGUUUAACAAAAACACAGGUCUCUGCUAAGCCGUAAGGCGACGUAUAGGGGCUGACGCCUGCCCGGUGCUGGAAGGUUAAGGGGAAGGGUUAGCCUUCGGGCGAAGCUCUGAACCGAAGCCCCAGUAAA
RNAcentral lists this non-coding RNA (519 nucleotides) under Symbiobacterium thermophilum. Its description in RNAcentral is "bacterial LSU rRNA". It matches the Rfam family "Bacterial large subunit ribosomal RNA", at positions 1416 to 1927 of the family's 2925-position model. The record is from RNAcentral. Lineage: Bacteria; Bacillati; Bacillota; Clostridia; Eubacteriales; Symbiobacteriaceae.